AGUGAACGCUGGCGGUAGGCCUAACACAUGCAAGUCGAACGGCAGCACAGUAAGGGCUUGCUCUUACGGGUGGCGAGUGGCGGACGGGUGAGGAAUACAUCGGAAUCUACUUUUUCGUGGGGGAUAACGUAGGGAAACUUACGCUAAUACCGCAUACGACCUACGGGUGAAAGCAGGGGAUCUUCGGACCUUGCGCGAUUGAAUGAGCCGAUGUCGGAUUAGCUAGUUGGCGGGGUAAAGGCCCACCAAGGCGACGAUCCGUAGCUGGUCUGAGAGGAUGAUCAGCCAAACUGGAACUGAGACACGGUCCAGACUCCUACGGGAGGCAGCAGUGGGGAAUAUUGGACAAUGGGCGCAAGCCUGAUCCAGCCAUACCGCGUGGGUGAAGAAGGCCUUCGGGUUGUAAAGCCCUUUUGUUGGGAAAGAAAAGCAGCAGGUUAAUACCCCGCUGUUCUGACGGUACCCAAAGAAUAAGCACCGGCUAACUUCGUG
RNAcentral lists this ribosomal RNA (492 nucleotides) under uncultured bacterium. RNAcentral describes it as "partial 16S ribosomal RNA". It matches the Rfam family "Bacterial small subunit ribosomal RNA", at positions 29 to 507 of the family's 1533-position model. The record is from RNAcentral.